Molecule: ribosomal RNA, 707 nt
Filed under: uncultured bacterium
Lineage: Bacteria
Description: bacterial SSU rRNA
Rfam family: Bacterial small subunit ribosomal RNA
Source: RNAcentral
GUGCCAGCCGCCGCGGUAAUACGUAGGUGGCAAGCGUUGUCCGGAUUUAUUGGGCGUAAAGCGAGCGCAGGCGGUUUCUUAAGUCUGAUGUGAAAGCCCCCGGCUCAACCGGGGAGGGUCAUUGGAAACUGGGAGACUUGAGUGCAGAAGAGGAGAGUGGAAUUCCAUGUGUAGCGGUGAAAUGCGUAGAUAUAUGGAGGAACACCAGUGGCGAAGGCGGCUCUCUGGUCUGUAACUGACGCUGAGGCUCGAAAGCGUGGGGAGCGAACAGGAUUAGAUACCCUGGUAGUCCACGCCGUAAACGAUGAGUGCUAAGUGUUGGAGGGUUUCCGCCCUUCAGUGCUGCAGCAAACGCAUUAAGCACUCCGCCUGGGGAGUACGACCGCAAGGUUGAAACUCAAAGGAAUUGACGGGGGCCCGCACAAGCGGUGGAGCAUGUGGUUUAAUUCGAAGCAACGCGAAGAACCUUACCAGGUCUUGACAUCCUUUGACCACUCUAGAGAUAGAGCUUCCCCUUCGGGGGCAAAGUGACAGGUGGUGCAUGGUUGUCGUCAGCUCGUGUCGUGAGAUGUUGGGUUAAGUCCCGCAACGAGCGCAACCCUUAUUGUUAGUUGCCAUCAUUUAGUUGGGCACUCUAGCGAGACUGCCGGUGACAAACCGGAGGAAGGUGGGGAUGACGUCAAAUCAUCAUGCCCCUUAUGACCUGG